CCUACGGGCGGCUGCAGUGGGGAAUAUUGGACAAUGGGCGAAAGCCUGAUCCAGCCAUGCCGCGUGUGUGAAGAAGGCCUUCGGGUUGUAAAGCACUUUCAGUGGGGAAGAAAGCCUUGGGGCUAAUACCCUCGAGGAAGGACAUCACCCACAGAAGAAGCACCGGCUAACUCCGUGCCAGCAGCCGCGGUAAUACGGAGGGUGCGAGCGUCAAUCGGAAUUACUGGGCGUAAAGCGCGCGUAGGCGGUCUGAUAAGCCGGUUGUGAAAGCCCCGGGCUCAACCUGGGAACGGCAUCCGGAACUGUCAGGCUAGAGUGCAGGAGAGGAAGGUAGAAUUCCCGGUGUAGCGGUGAAAUGCGUAGAGAUCGGGAGGAAUACCAGUGGCGAAGGCGGCCUUCUGGACUGACACUGACGCUGAGGUGCGAAAGCGUGGGUAGCAAACAGGAUUAGAUACCCCAGUAGUC
This 465-nucleotide ribosomal RNA is filed under the name Vreelandella stevensii. RNAcentral's name for it is "partial 16S ribosomal RNA". It matches the Rfam family "Bacterial small subunit ribosomal RNA", at positions 338 to 795 of the family's 1533-position model. Lineage: Bacteria; Pseudomonadati; Pseudomonadota; Gammaproteobacteria; Oceanospirillales; Halomonadaceae. The record is from RNAcentral.